UACGAAGGGGGCUAGCGUUGUUCGGAAUCACUGGGCGUAAAGCGCGCGCAGGCGGCUUUCCAAGUCAGGGGUGAAAUCCCGGGGCUUAACCCCGGAACUGCCUUUGAAACUGGUAAGCUGGAGACUCGGAGAGGAUAGUGGAAUUCCAAGUGUAGAGGUGAAAUUCGUAGAUACUUGGAGGAACACCGAUGGCGAAGGCAGCUAUCUGGACGAGCACUGACGCUGAGGCGCGAAAGCGUGGGGAUCAAACAGG
This 253-nucleotide ribosomal RNA is filed under the name uncultured bacterium. RNAcentral describes it as "partial 16S ribosomal RNA". It matches the Rfam family "Bacterial small subunit ribosomal RNA", at positions 524 to 776 of the family's 1533-position model. The record is from RNAcentral.